This 440-nucleotide ribosomal RNA is filed under the name uncultured bacterium. RNAcentral's name for it is "partial 16S ribosomal RNA". It matches the Rfam family "Bacterial small subunit ribosomal RNA", at positions 338 to 795 of the family's 1533-position model. The record is from RNAcentral.
CCUACGGGAGGCAGCAGUGAGGAAUAUUGGGCAAUGGAGGCAACUCUGACCCAGCCAUGCCGCGUGAGUGAAGAAGGUUUUCGGAUUGUAAAGCUCUUUCGGAUGUGACGAUGAUGACGGUAGCAUCUAAAGAAGCCCCGGCUAACUACGUGCCAGCAGCCGCGGUAAUACGUAGGGGGCAAGCGUUAUCCGGAUUUACUGGGUGUAAAGGGGGCGCAGACGGCGAUGCAAGCCAGGAGUGAAAGCCCGGGGCCCAACCCCGGGACUGCUCUUGGAACUGCGUGGCUGGAGUGCAGGAGGGGCAGGCGGAAUUCCUGGUGUAGCGGUGAAAUGCGUAGAUAUCAGGAGGAACACCGGUGGCGAAGGCGGCCUGCUGGACUGCAACUGACGUUGAGGCCCGAAAGCGUGGGGAGCAAACAGGAUUAGAUACCCUGGUAGUC